GUCUUCUUGGUGUAGUCGGUUAUCACGUCGGUCUCAUAUUAGACCAUGACUGCUCGAAGAGUAGACAUCCGAAGGUCGCCAGUUCGAAUCUGGCAGAGGACA
Dothidotthia symphoricarpi CBS 119687 is the source of this 102-nucleotide non-coding RNA. NCBI's taxonomy places the organism in Eukaryota, Fungi, Ascomycota, Dothideomycetes, Pleosporales, Dothidotthiaceae. The record is from the annotation of a RefSeq genome assembly.